UACAGAGGUCUCAAGCGUUGUUCGGAUUCAUUGGGCGUAAAGGGUGCGUAGGCGGCGCGGUAAGUCGGGUGUGAAAUCUCGGAGCUUAACUCCGAAACUGCAUUCGAUACUGCCGUGCUUGAGGACUGGAGAGGAGACUGGAAUUUACGGUGUAGCGGUGAAAUGCGUAGAUAUCAAGAGGACCACCUGCGGCGAAGGCGGGUUGCUGGGCCGACACUGACGCUGAGGCGCGAAAGCUAGGGGAGCGAACGGG
RNAcentral lists this ribosomal RNA (253 nucleotides) under uncultured bacterium. RNAcentral's name for it is "partial 16S ribosomal RNA". It matches the Rfam family "Bacterial small subunit ribosomal RNA", at positions 524 to 776 of the family's 1533-position model. The record is from RNAcentral.